GAUGAACGCUGGCGGCGUGCCUAAUACAUGCAAGUCGAGCGAACGGACGAGAAGCUUGCUUCUCUGAUGUUAGCGGCGGACGGGUGAGUAACACGUGGAUAACCUACCUAUAAGACUGGGAUAACUUCGGGAAACCGGAGCUAAUACCGGAUAAUAUUUUGAACCGCAUGGUUCAAAAGUGAAAGACGGUCUUGCUGUCACUUAUAGAUGGAUCCGCGCUGCAUUAGCUAGUUGGUAAGGUAACGGCUUACCAAGGCAACGAUGCAUAGCCGACCUGAGAGGGUGAUCGGCCACACUGGAACUGAGACACGGUCCAGACUCCUACGGGAGGCAGCAGUAGGGAAUCUUCCGCAAUGGGCGAAAGCCUGACGGAGCAACGCCGCGUGAGUGAUGAAGGUCUUCGGAUCGUAAAACUCUGUUAUUAGGGAAGAACAUAUGUGUAAGUAACUGUGCACAUCUUGACGGUACCUAAUCAGAAAGCCACGGCUAACUACGUGCCAGCAGCCGCGGUAAUACGUAGGUGGCAAGCGUUAUCCGGAAUUAUUGGGCGUAAAGCGCGCGUAGGCGGUUUUUUAAGUCUGAUGUGAAAGCCCACGGCUCAACCGUGGAGGGUCAUCGGAAACUGGAAAACUUGAGUGCAGAAGAGGAAAGUGGAAUUCCAUGUGUAGCGGUGAAAUGCGCAGAGAUAUGGAGGAACACCAGUGGCGAAGGCGACUUUCUGGUCUGUAACUGACGCUGAUGUGCGAAAGCGUGGGGAUCAAACAGGAUUAGAUACCCUGGUAGUCCACGCCGUAAACGAUGAGUGCUAAGUGUUAGGGGGUUUCCGCCCCUUAGUGCUGCAGCUAACGCAUUAAGCACUCCGCCUGGGGAGUACGACCGCAAGGUUGAAACUCAAAGGAAUUGACGGGGACCCGCACAAGCGGUGGAGCAUGUGGUUUAAUUCGAAGCAACGCGAAGAACCUUACCAAAUCUUGACAUCCUUUGACAACUCUAGAGAUAGAGCUUUCCCCUUCGGGGGACAAAGUGACAGGUGGUGCAUGGUUGUCGUCAGCUCGUGUCGUGAGAUGUUGGGUUAAGUCCCGCAACGAGCGCAACCCUUAAGCUUAGUUGCCAUCAUUAAGUUGGGCACUCUAAGUUGACUGCCGGUGACAAACCGGAGGAAGGUGGGGAUGACGUCAAAUCAUCAUGCCCCUUAUGAUUUGGGCUACACACGUGCUACAAUGGACAAUACAAAGGGCAGCGAAACCGCGAGGUCAAGCAAAUCCCAUAAAGUUGUUCUCAGUUCGGAUUGUAGUCUGCAACUCGACUACAUGAAGCUGGAAUCGCUAGUAAUCGUAGAUCAGCAUGCUACGGUGAAUACGUUCCCGGGUCU
This 1372-nucleotide ribosomal RNA is filed under the name uncultured bacterium. RNAcentral describes it as "bacterial SSU rRNA". It matches the Rfam family "Bacterial small subunit ribosomal RNA", at positions 28 to 1381 of the family's 1533-position model. The record is from RNAcentral.